This 1400-nucleotide long non-coding RNA is filed under the name Pongo abelii (Sumatran orangutan). RNAcentral describes it as "lncRNA (ENSPPYG00000038115.1)". Lineage: Eukaryota; Metazoa; Chordata; Mammalia; Primates; Hominidae. The record is from RNAcentral.
CCCAUAGAUUAGUGGAAAAAGCUGAUUAACCAGCUACUCAUAGGCUGCUAAUUCAUUCAUGCCAAUGUUUUGGUUUUUCAGUUUUGCCUCCGUGAUAAAUUAAAGAAUGGGGAGGGGUGAAGGAAGGGGAAGAAGAUUGCUUUAGAACAAGUGGCAUGAAAUUACCAUCUUCAUAGAAACCGCAGCUAACAGUGAGAGUUACCUAAGCAAUCAGAUGUUACAGGGCCAGCCCUUUAGCUGCUGUGAUGUAUUCUGUUGGGUAAUGAGGUAGUAGGUACUUUAUAGACUUUUAAUUUUGGAAAUUGAUGACAUCCCUCAGGCAUGUAUUCUGGAAAUGGAAUUCCUGUAACUUCCUGUGUCUGCAGUGUGCCCUACAAUUAGUAGGCAGCGCGUAAAAACACUAGUGUAGAUUACAAAGAUACUUAUUAAAAGAGGACCAGAAAUACUUGGUAUUCAGUGGCACAGAAAGCAGGUUAAACAAACAAAAAGCACAGUGUUAUGCUUGCAAGUUUCCAUUUGUUUUAAUACCACGCAAUCUUUCACACUCGUGCGUGUGCGCGCACACAGAGCUUACCUGACUUGCUCUACUUGAGUCAUGCAGUUAAAAAAAAAAAAGACAUCUUGACACCCACACAAUAUUCUAAUCAAAACCUUUCAGUUUCAAUCUGGAUAUUUAAAAACAUUGGCAGAAGCUUCUGUGAGUUUAGUUCCACUAAGAUGUUUCACCUGCCUUAUCAAGACCAUUCUCAGUCUACUUUUUUAAGCUACCGUAUCUUAAAUUAUUGAAAAUUUAUUAAUUGCUGAAUAUAUAAUAACCUUUGCUUGUAUGUAACCGAAAAUGGUUUAAGAGCCAACAUUUAGAGUAUGACAAUGGAGCUGAACAGUUUUUAAUGCGCAAGCAGUUCUGUUCUUGUGUAUGACUUGUAACCUUAAUUUACUGUGUAAAGAUGGUUACAUUAUUUCCUUAGCUUUGUUUGUUGGAGACAAAUAGAGAAUGCUUGUUAAGUAUGUCAAAACAAUCUUGUGAAUUUUUGUUAAUGUAUUAUACGAGCUAUAUUUUUCAUUUGCCCAGAAAGACAGCUUGUAUAACGCUUUUGGAAGUUUCUGCUCUGUAAUGUCUUUAGAGCUGACAGUCUGUUAGGUUUGUUUUUUUCUUCAUGCUAAAGUGUCAGUUGGUGGUUUUGUGAACUGGUCAAAAAUUCACAGGUCUUAAAUGUUUUGGGGGAAAUUUAUAUUGGACACUGCUCUUUGUCUAGCAAAUAAAAGAUGUUAAUAUAUUCCUGUUACUGGCAUGUGCACGACUAUGUUAUUAGAAGCCACUUUAUCAUUUUCCUGCUUUAAAUAGAAAUGUCUAUUUAUGAAUUCUGCUUGUAGUUUUUUCACAAAUAAAAUAGUAAAAU